UACGUAGGGUCCGAGCGUUGUCCGGAGUUACUGGGCGUAAAGGGCGCGCAGGCGGCGGUGCUGGCCCGGCGUGAAAGCCCCCGGCUCGACCGGGGAGGGUCGUCGGGGACCGCACCGCUUGAGGGCGGUAGGGGCCGGUGGAAUGCCUGGUGUAGUGGUGAAAUGCGUAGAGAUCAGGCAGAACACCUGGGGCGAAGGCGGCCGGCUGGGCCGUCCCUGACGCUGAGGCGCGAAGGCGUGGGGAGCGAACGGG
This 253-nucleotide ribosomal RNA is filed under the name uncultured bacterium. Its description in RNAcentral is "partial 16S ribosomal RNA". It matches the Rfam family "Bacterial small subunit ribosomal RNA", at positions 524 to 776 of the family's 1533-position model. The record is from RNAcentral.